UACGUAGGGUGCGAGCGUUGUCCGGAAUUAUUGGGCGUAAAGAGCGCGCAGGCGGUUGUGCAAGUCGCGUGUGAAAGCCCCCGGCUCAACUGGGGAGGGUCACGCGAUACUGCUCAACUCGAAGGCAGGAGGGGGAAGUGGAAUUCCCGGUGUAGUGGUGAAAUGCGCAGAUAUCAGGAGGAACACCGGUGGCGAAGGCGGAUCUCUGGGCCUUACCUGACGCUGAGGCGCGAAAGCUAGGGGAGCAAACAGG
This 253-nucleotide ribosomal RNA is filed under the name uncultured bacterium. RNAcentral describes it as "partial 16S ribosomal RNA". It matches the Rfam family "Bacterial small subunit ribosomal RNA", at positions 524 to 776 of the family's 1533-position model. The record is from RNAcentral.